AGAAAAUAGUUUAAUUGGUAGAAGAAUAAUUUUAUGAAUUAAAAGUGAUAAUUCGAGUUUAUCUUUCGACUA
This 72-nucleotide transfer RNA is filed under the name Aspergillus fumigatus Af293. RNAcentral's name for it is "Aspergillus fumigatus tRNA tI(UAU)2mt". It matches the Rfam family "tRNA". From Rfam's summary of the family: Transfer RNA (tRNA) molecules are approximately 80 nucleotides in length. Their secondary structure includes four short double-helical elements and three loops (D, anti-codon, and T loops). The record is from RNAcentral. Lineage: Eukaryota; Fungi; Ascomycota; Eurotiomycetes; Eurotiales; Aspergillaceae. RNAcentral also lists the same sequence under 1 other name.